This 494-nucleotide ribosomal RNA is filed under the name uncultured bacterium. Its description in RNAcentral is "partial 16S ribosomal RNA". It matches the Rfam family "Bacterial small subunit ribosomal RNA", at positions 28 to 507 of the family's 1533-position model. The record is from RNAcentral.
GACGAACGCUGGCGGCGUGCUUAACACAUGCAAGUCGAACGGUGAAGCGCCUUCCUUUUUGGUGGGUGUGGAUGAGUGGCGAACGGGUGAGUAACACGUGAGUAACCUGCCCCCUUCUUCUGGAUAACCGCAUGAAAGUGUGGCUAAUACUGGAUAUUCUGGGUCUGUCGCAUGAUGGGUCUGGGAAAGAUAUUGUUUCGGUGGGGGAUGGGCUCGCGGCCUAUCAGCUUGUUGGUGGGGUGAUGGCCUACCAAGGCGGUGACGGGUAGCCGGCCUGAGAGGGUGGACGGUCACACUGGGACUGAGACACGGCCCAGACUCCUACGGGAGGCAGCAGUGGGGAAUAAUGCACAAUGGGCGCAAGCCUGAUGCAGCGACGCCGCGGGAGGGAUGGAGGCCUUCGGGUUGUGAACCUCUUUCGCCAGUGAAGCAGGCCUGCCUCGUUUGUGGGUGGGUUGACGGUAGCUGGAUAAGAAGCGCCGGCUAACUACGUG